CUUAGGUUUUCAGCUGCCCGUGUUUUUCUUCCUUUUUGUUCUUCCCUCGGUGCAAAAAAUAUUUUGGUUUCUUCUAUGACAUUUCUUAUUCUGUAUAAUUGGCGUCAGACACAGGUGCCAGGGAACGUGGCUGUGUCUGCUUUGGACGGUCCUGAUUUCUUUUGGCUCUUUAGAAGUACAAAAACUACCAGCUAGCUAUUUGCUGGCUUUAGAGGGCUGAAACCUGAUCAGAGAAAGUCUAGAGGCAACAGCACCCCAUGAGGAGUGGCACGUCUAUCACGCAGAUUCUGGUUUCCACUACCAUUCUCUACCAAGAGGAACCAGGAUGAAUUAGAGAAGUGGCUGAUUUUAGCACUGAGGAAGUAUACACAAGAUGAACCUGGAACAUCUUCUAGUACCAGAAAUUUGGGAAGCGCUCAAAACAAAAACAAAGACAAAAACAAGCCAUAAUCAUUGGGGUUUGUCAAAAGGAUCAAGAGCCAACUGAAAGAGUUCCUGAUGUCCAAAGCGGAAAACGAUUUGAGCAACAAGCAAUAGAAAAUAUUGGAUUAUAAUGUAGGUAUAAAAUAAAUAGCUACGAGUCCAUAGCAAUGUAAGUAAGAGAUCAAAUAAGUAAAUGAGGGAGAAGAGCCAAAUCUAUGGAGAAGAGAUCCAAAUAAUUUCCAUAGAUACUUCACUCUCAUAGAGGUGGAGCGUAACUCUCCUUUUCUUAAGUGUGGCUGUGCAGAGUGCCUUCUUUCCAAGAGCACACGGGAAGAAAACAAGAGUAAUUUUGAGUGGAGACACCUGAGAAAUACUAAAUCAGCCAUGUGUGGAGUUGAACAUCAGCCAGGUAAGGAAGUAGUAAGUCUUGUUGAUAGCGUGUACCCUUAAUGUGACGAGACGACGUCUUACCCCUGUGAUCUUAAUCCCCCGAACCAGUAACCCCAGGGCAAUUAUGAGUAUCAGUGUCAGAUAAAUUCCAUUUGAGGGACAUCUGCAAAGUAGUUGAUCAAUACUCCUCAGAAAGAUCAAGGUCAUCAAAAAUAAGGAGAGGCUGAGAAUCUGUCAUAGCCGAGAGGAUGCUAAGAAGACAUGACAAUUAUGUUUAAAGUAAUAUUCUGGGUGAGAUCCUGGAACAGAAAAAGAACAUUAGGUGAAA
Molecule: long non-coding RNA, 1141 nt
Organism: Canis lupus familiaris (dog)
Lineage: Eukaryota; Metazoa; Chordata; Mammalia; Carnivora; Canidae
Exons: 3
Source: RefSeq, a predicted model, not a curated record